GUGAUCGUGCGCCGACAAUGUAGCGGGGCUCAAGCACACCGCCGAAGCCGCGGACCCAUGACGUUGUUCCCUUCACUGUCCGGCUUGUCCGGGUGGUGGCAGGGGUUGUGGGUGGUAGGGGAGCGUCCUGCACCGGGGGAAGCCUGUGGGUGACUGCUGGUGGACGGUGCGGGAGUGAGAAUGCAGGCAUGAGUAGCGAUACUAGGGUGAGAAGCCCUAGCGCCGAAUGACCAAGGGUUCCAGGGCCAGGCUAGUCCGCCCUGGGUGAGUCGGGACCUAAGGCGAGGCCGACAGGCGUAGUCGAUGGAUGACGGGUUGAUAUUCCCGUACCGGCGAAGCACCGCCCAUGCUGACGCGCGGGUGCUAACCCACGCCCAGCCACCAUAUUGGCCGCAUGUGUCAGGUUCGCCUGACGGUGUGGUUGUGGUGGUGGGGUCUGGGGAUCCUCCGUGCAGGUAGGCAAGCGUGUUAACAGGGGUGACGCACAGUGGUAGCCCGGCGGACCUGAUGGCUUGGUCCGUUCAAGCGCGCAGCCCGUCUCCCAGGUAAAUCCGGGGGACUGUCUUUGAUGACGGGGGUGAGGCGUGAUGGUGACCUCACGUUGGUGGGGGAUAACAGGGUGAUCCUGGGGUGCCGAGAAAAGCCUCGACGCGAUGGUGCCAGCCGCCCGUACCCUAAACCGACACAGGUGGUCGGGCAGAGUAUGCCUAGGCGCACGAGUGAAUCAUGGUUAAGGAACUCGGCAAAAUGCCCCCGUAACUUCGGGAGAAGGGGGGCCUGAUCCCUGAAGCCCCUUUUGCGGGCUAGGGGGGAGGGUCGCAGAGGCCAGGGGGAAGCGACUGUUUACUAAAAACACAGGUCCGUGCGAAGCCGUAAGGCGAUGUAUACGGACUGACGCCUGCCCGGUGCUGGAAGGUUAAGAGGAACCAUCAACCCCCUUGUGGGGUGAAGUGGUGAAUUUAAGCCCCAGUAAACGGCGGUGGUAACUAUAACCAUCCUAAGGUAGCGAAAUUCCUUGUCGGGUAAGUUCCGACCUGCACGAAUGGCGUAACGACUUCUCCGCUGUCUCAACCGCGAACUCGGUGAAAUUGCAGUACGAGUAAAGAUGCUCGUUUCGCGCAGAAGGACGGAAAGACCCCGGGACCUUUACUACAGCUUGGUAUUGGCGCCCGCUAUAGCUUGUGCAGGAUAGGUGGGAGACUGUGAAGCCGUUACGCCAGUGGCGGUGGAGUCGUCCUUGAAAUACCACUCUGGUUAUGGCGUGCGCCUGAACCUGGGCCCGUGAUCCGGGUUAGGGACAGUGCCUGGUGGGUAGUUUAACUGGGGCGGUUGCCUCCUAAAUUGUAACGGAGGCGCUCAAAGGUUCCCUCAUCCUGGUCGGUAACCAGGUGUUGAGUGUAAGUGCACAAGGGAGCUUGACUGCGAGACUGACAGGUCGAGCAGGUACGAAAGUAGGAACUAGUGAUCCGGCGAUCCCGUGUGGGUGGGUCGUCGCUCAACGGAUAAAAGGUACCCCGGGGAUAACAGGCUGAUCCUGCCCAAGAGUCCAUAUCGACGGCAUGGUUUGGCACCUCGAUGUCGGCUCGUCGC
RNAcentral lists this ribosomal RNA (1590 nucleotides) under human oral metagenome. RNAcentral's name for it is "bacterial LSU rRNA". It matches the Rfam family "Bacterial large subunit ribosomal RNA", at positions 1153 to 2543 of the family's 2925-position model. The record is from RNAcentral.